This 496-nucleotide ribosomal RNA is filed under the name uncultured bacterium. Its description in RNAcentral is "partial 16S ribosomal RNA". It matches the Rfam family "Bacterial small subunit ribosomal RNA", at positions 29 to 507 of the family's 1533-position model. The record is from RNAcentral.
AUGAACGCUGGCGGCGUGCCUAAUCCAUGCAAGUCGAGCGAACAGACGAGGAGCUUGCUCCUCUGACGUUAGCGGCGGACGGGUGAGUAACACGUGGAUAACCUACCUAUAAGACUGGGAUAACUUCGGGAAACCGGAGCUAAUACCGGAUAAUAUAUUUAACCGCAUGGUUCAAUAGUGAAAGACGGUUUUGCUGUCACUUAUAGAUGGAUCCGCGCCGCAUUAGCUAGUUGGUAAGGUAACGGCUUACCAAGGCGACGAUGCGUAGCCGACCUGAGAGGGUGAUCGGCCACACUGGAACUGAGACACGGUCCAGACUCCUACGGGAGGCAGCAGUAGGGAAUCUUCCGCAAUGGGCGAAAGCCUGACGGAGCAACGCCGCGUGAGUGAUGAAGGUCUUCGGAUCGUAAAACUCUGUUAUUAGGGAUGAACAAAUGUGUAAGUAACUAUGCACGUCUUGACGGUACCUAAUCAGAAAGCCACGGCUAACUACGUG